AUAUAAUUAAGCGGAGGAAAAGAAACCAACAGGGAUUCCCUCAAUAGCGGCGAGCGAAGUGGGAUCAGCCCGAGAUGUGAAUCGAAGUAGGCUUGCCCUUCUUCGAGUUGUGCAUCAUGGUCUUUACCAGCAGGUUUGAUUGUCUAAGGUGCCUGGAAAGGCAUGCCACAGAGGGUGAUAGCCCCGUCUUUGACAAUUAAAACUACCGUAC
RNAcentral lists this ribosomal RNA (211 nucleotides) under uncultured eukaryote. RNAcentral describes it as "partial large subunit ribosomal RNA". It matches the Rfam family "Eukaryotic large subunit ribosomal RNA", at positions 40 to 246 of the family's 3401-position model. The record is from RNAcentral.